This 233-nucleotide ribosomal RNA is filed under the name uncultured bacterium. Its description in RNAcentral is "partial 16S ribosomal RNA". It matches the Rfam family "Bacterial small subunit ribosomal RNA", at positions 100 to 334 of the family's 1533-position model. The record is from RNAcentral.
CGGGACGGGUGAGUAAUGUCUAGGGAAACUGCCGAUGGAGGGGGAUAACUACUGGAAACGGUAGCUAAUACCGCAUAACGUCGCAAGACCAAAGAGGGGGACCUUAGGGCCUCUUGCCAUCGGAUGUGCCCAGAUGGGAUUAGCUAGUAGGUGGGGUAACGGCUCACCUAGGCGACGAUCCCUAGCUGGUCUGAGAGGAUGACCAGCCACACUGGAACUGAGACACGGUCCAG